This 1189-nucleotide ribosomal RNA is filed under the name metagenome. RNAcentral describes it as "bacterial SSU rRNA". It matches the Rfam family "Eukaryotic small subunit ribosomal RNA", at positions 636 to 1721 of the family's 1831-position model. The record is from RNAcentral.
UCGGCUUCGGUCGGUCGGGUAUCUUGGACCUUUGGUUCUUCGGAAUUGAGGGGAGCAAUCUCUUUCUCGUUCGAGUGUGUUGGAGGCGGUUAACGCCGUUUUCUGGCAUGCGAGAGUUCCUUGGGUUAUGGCGCUUCUGCCCUUUAUUGGGUGGUAGUGUUGUGCCUAAGAUUUUACUUUGAGAAAAUUAGAGUGUCCAAAGCAGGCCAUUGGCUUUGCCUUAUUGCCGUGAAUACGUUAGCAUGGAAUAAUGGAAUAGGGCUGUUGCUCUAUUUUUUGUUGGUUUUUGGAGGGCGAUAGCAAUGAUUAAAAGGGACGGUUGGGGUGAUUAGUACUUCAUAGUCAGAGGUGAAAUUCUGGGAUUUAUGGAAGACUAACAUAUGCGAAAGCAUUUCACAAGGAUGUUUUCAUUAAUCAAGAGCGAAAGUUCGGGGUUCAAAGAUGAUCAGAUACCGUCGUAGUCCGAACCAUAAACUAUGCCGACUGGGGAUUGGGGGACGUACAAUUUUAUGAUGACUCCUUCAGCACCCUAUGAGAAAUCUUUGAGUUUUUGGGUUCCGGGGGGAGUACGGUCGCAAGGCUGAAACUUAAAGGAAUUGACGGAAGGGCACAACCAGGAGUGGAGCUUGCGGCUUAAUUUAACUCAACGCAGGAAAACUUACCAGAGCCAGACACGGUUAGGAUUGACAGAUUGAGAGCUCUUUCUUGAUUCCGUGAAAGGUGGUGCAUGGCCGUUCUUAGUUCGUGGAUUGAUUUGUCUGCUCAAUUGCGUUAACGAACGAGACCUUCGCCUACUAAAUAGUUAUAUCAAGGUUUUGACUGAAUGGCAUUGCCGUUUGUUUUAACGUUGAUAGACAACUUCUUAGAGGGACUACUGGCGUUUAGCCAGAGGAAGCGGGAGGCAAUAACAGGUCUGUGAUGCCCUUCGAUGUUCUGGGCCGCACGCGCGCUACAAUGAUGAGGGCAACGAGCUUAAAUAGCUUUAUGCUAAAUACCUGUUCCGAAAGGAUUGGGUGAUCUUUUGAAACCUCAUCGUGCUGGGGAUAGAUUAUUGCAAUUAUUAAUCUUGAACGAGGAAUUCCUAGUAAGCGUGAGUCAUCACCUCGCGCUGAUUUCGUCCCUGCCCUUUGUACACACCGCCCGUCGCUCCUACCGAUCGAAUCAUUCGGUGAAGACUCCGGACUCUGCG